Molecule: long non-coding RNA, 2029 nt
Filed under: Bemisia tabaci
Lineage: Eukaryota; Metazoa; Arthropoda; Insecta; Hemiptera; Aleyrodidae
Description: lncRNA ENSSWEETPG002686
Source: RNAcentral
UUAAAAAAAAGGGAAAAAAGGAAUUUUAGAACUUAAAUUUUUACACAGUAAUCGAGACAGAGUGAGUAAAACUUUUGUAAAAAAGAAGAUUCGAAACAAUUCAAACGAGUUGUUCUUAUUUUGAAAAAUGAAAGACGAGAGGAUACUCGGAGCGUCGCAUUUUGAAAUACGUGUUCUCAGAGUUCAGCCAUCGAUAUCCAAUUACACUUCAGGGGACGUAAUAAGCUGCGUUUGAUAGUGAACAUAAAAUCGGCAAUAAAUAACGUGCACGCACGGAAUGAAUAAAAAAUGCUGAUGCCGGCUUGAAUCAAUACCAAAUAGACCUCCAUCAUCGGAUAGAGCCACUGGUCGCACGCAAUCUGCGGGAAAGAAUCCAGCCUCUGACCAAAGUUUUUUGGUUGUAAAAACUCAAUCAAUUGCUUAGUGCGCAUACGGACAAUCUGAACCGAGUUGAAUAGAUAAAAGUGUUUUGGGAAACAGGGGGUCAACUUGUUGUAGAGUUUUUUUACAUUUCUCAUUAAGGAAAUUUCUCAUCAUGUAGAGCAAUGUCAAGGUGCGAAUUAAAACAUUUGGAUAUCACUAGUAUUAAUUAAUAUUUCCCUACCUCUGUCCGUCUGCAGGUUGAUUUGUCUGAAAAACCAACGUUUUGGAAGGCCUUGAAACCGCCGGCAAAAGACAAAUGUGGAGAGCUGUUGACUUCAUUAUGUACCACCCUAGUAAUAGUAUUCUGACACUUACCUUACUCAAAGCUAGAAACCUUAAGGCUAAAGACAUCAACGGAAAAAUCAGAUCCAUAUGUGAAAGUCUGGCUCCAGUUUGGAGACAAAAAGGAUCGAGAAGCGGAAAACGCCCGUAUACAAAUGUACAUUAAAUCCGGUUUUUAAUGAAACUUUAGCUACAAUGUACCCUGGGAGAAAAUCCGAGAAUGCUCCCUAGACGUAAUGGUAAUGGACUUCGACAACAUAGGUAGGAACGAGCUCAUCGGCCGCAUACUCUAGCAGGUACAGAUUAUUCACUUCUUUCACUAUUAUAUUAUGCAUUUUCAGCCGUGUUCUGCCUUCCCCCUAAAAUUUUAGGAGCCAUCUUGGCCAGAAAGCCCAAUUUCUAGGAGCCUCUCUACUAUUUUUAGGGGCCAAAUUAAAUUUUUGCAUAUGGGCCAUGGCUAUGCUGAGAACGGUGCGUAUAGAGAGCGCUUCGUCACUACCGCUGCUUCCCGAUUGCGAGUUCAAUCUGUCAAAUUUUAGGCGCCACGUUGGCCCACCCCCCCCCCAUUUUUAGGCGCCAAGGCCCGAUUUUUAGGCGCAUUUGACACGUGGCGCCCCGGGGAAGGCAGAACACUGAUUUUUCAGCCGCGAAUAUUAAGAGAUAAUAUUAUAGAGUUAUUAAGAGAGAACAUAUUAUUAUUAUUUAGGAGAAUAAAAGGAAAACUUUCAACGCUAAAUUGAAACGCAUUUUAACUAUAGUGCCUAUACAGGGACAGGGCCGGAUUUACCUACUUGCCGCCCAUGGGCCGCUAGUAUUUUGCCGCCCCCUUCUCAUUCUUUCUGAAACAUCAAUGAAAACCAUCAAAUGAACGUGCCAGCGGGGAGGGGUGCAUAAGACGCGUUUACUGGUGUUGAACACAUUUUUUGGGAAAGCCCUGUCAACACUACUGGCAAAAGUUCACGGAACUUCGCGCGAAAGUUAAGUUUUGUAAACCUAUCUCGUGUGGACAAGGCCUUCGAUUCAUAAGAAAUGACGAAAAAAUUAAAAAUGAAAGAACAAACAUAAAUGUGGAUUAAUGAUUUUUAACUUCCGCCGCCGCGCCUCGCAGACCGCACUGUGUUGACGCAAUGCGUGAAGUAUUCACGCAGUCUUGUAGGCGCUAUGCGUCUCAGGCUGAUCGCAAUGUGUUUGCCGCAAUGCGUGAGGGUAUUCAUGCAUUCUUGUAGGCGCUAUCCGUUUCACGCUGUCCGCAAUGACCGCACACCGCACUGUUUUAAUGCAAUGCGUGAAGUAUUCGUGCAGUCUUGUAGGCGCUAAUAUGCGU